AGGGUGUAAACGCUGCAGACUUGGUGUUGGAAAUCCUUCGAGGGUAUUCAGUACCGGAGAGAAGUUGUUAAGUCUGCUACUUGGGGAGUACGUCCGCAAGGAUGAAACUUAAAGGAAUUGGCGGGGGAGCACCGCAACGGGAGGAGCGUGCGGUUUAAUUGGAUUCAACACCGGAAAACUCACCAGGGGAGACUGUUACAUGAAACCCAGACUAAUGGUCUUGGUUGAUUUUCAGAGAGGAGGUGCAUGGCGUCAGUGACU
RNAcentral lists this ribosomal RNA (261 nucleotides) under uncultured archaeon. RNAcentral describes it as "partial 16S ribosomal RNA". It matches the Rfam family "Archaeal small subunit ribosomal RNA", at positions 748 to 1008 of the family's 1478-position model. The record is from RNAcentral.